Molecule: ribosomal RNA, 240 nt
Filed under: uncultured bacterium
Lineage: Bacteria
Description: partial 16S ribosomal RNA
Rfam family: Bacterial small subunit ribosomal RNA
Source: RNAcentral
UACGUAGGUGGCAAGCGUUGUCCGGAUUUAUUGGGCGUAAAGCGAGUGCAGGCGGUUCAAUAAGUCUGAUGUGAAAGCCUUCGGCUCAACCGGAGAAUUGCAUCAGAAACUGUUGAACUUGAGUGCAGAAGAGGAGAGUGGAACUCCAUGUGUAGCGGUGGAAUGCGUAGAUAUAUGGAAGAACACCAGUGGCGAAGGCGGCUCUCUGGUCUGCAACUGACGCUGAGGCUCGAAAGCAUG